UACGGGAGGCAGCAGUGGGGGAUAUUGCGCAAUGGGGGAAACCCUGACGCAGCAACGCCGCGUGGAUGAUGACGGUUUUCGGAUUGUAAAGUCCUUUUCUUAGGGACGAAAUUUGACGGUACCUAAGGAAUAAGCUCCGGCUAACUACGUGCCAGCAGCCGCGGUAAU
This 168-nucleotide ribosomal RNA is filed under the name uncultured rumen bacterium. RNAcentral's name for it is "partial 16S ribosomal RNA". It matches the Rfam family "Bacterial small subunit ribosomal RNA", at positions 340 to 524 of the family's 1533-position model. The record is from RNAcentral.